CCUACGGGCGGCAGCAGUGAGGAAUAUUGGUCAAUGGGCGAGAGCCUGAACCAGCCAAGUCGCGUGAGGGAGUACUGCCCUAUGGGUUGUAAACCUCUUUUGUCGGGGAGCAAAAGCCGGACGUGUCCGGCUGUGAGAGUACCCGAAGAAAAAGCAUCGGCGAACUCCUGGCCAGCAGCCGCGGGAAUACGGAGGAUGCGAGCGUUAUCCGGAUUUAUUGGGUUUAAAGGGUGCGCAGGCGGAUUUUUAAGUCCGCGGUAAAAUCGUGGGGCUCAACCCCAUCCAGCCGUUGAAACUGGGGAUCUAGAGUGUGCGAGAGGCAGGCGGAAUGCGUGGUGUAGCGGUGAAAUGCAUAGAUAUCACGCAGAACCCCGAUUGCGAAGGCAGCAUACCGGUGCACAACUGACGCUGAGGCACGAAAGCGUGGGUAUCGAACAGGAUUAGAUACCCUUGUAGUC
RNAcentral lists this ribosomal RNA (458 nucleotides) under uncultured bacterium. RNAcentral describes it as "partial 16S ribosomal RNA". It matches the Rfam family "Bacterial small subunit ribosomal RNA", at positions 338 to 795 of the family's 1533-position model. The record is from RNAcentral.